GUGUUGGUAGCUCAGUGGAUUAGAGUACAUGGUUCCGGACCUUUAAGUCAAGGGUUCAAAUCCCUUCUAGCCCG
Molecule: transfer RNA, 74 nt
Filed under: Lagarostrobos franklinii (Huon pine)
Lineage: Eukaryota; Viridiplantae; Streptophyta; Pinopsida; Araucariales; Podocarpaceae
Description: tRNA-Arg
Rfam family: tRNA
About the family: Transfer RNA (tRNA) molecules are approximately 80 nucleotides in length.
Source: RNAcentral